RNAcentral lists this ribosomal RNA (376 nucleotides) under uncultured organism. RNAcentral describes it as "partial 16S ribosomal RNA". It matches the Rfam family "Bacterial small subunit ribosomal RNA", at positions 527 to 896 of the family's 1533-position model. The record is from RNAcentral.
GUAGGUGGCAAGCGUUGUCCGGAAUUAUUGGGCGUAAAGCGCGCGCAGGCGGUUCUUUAAGUCUGAUGUGAAAGCCCACGGCUCAACCGUGGAGGGUCAUUGGAAACUGGAGAACUUGAGUACAGAAGAGGAAAGCGGAAUUCCACGUGUAGCGGUGAAAUGCGUAGAGAUGUGGAGGAACACCAGUGGCGAAGGCGGCUUUCUGGUCUGUAACUGACGCUGAGGCGCGAAAGCGUGGGGAGCAAACAGGAUUAGAUACCCUGGUAGUCCACGCCGUAAACCGAUGAGUGCUAAGUGUUAGGGGGGUUUUCCGCCCCCCUUAGUGCUGCAGUUAACGCAUUAAGCACUCCGCCUGGGGAGUACGGCCGCAAGGCUG